This 523-nucleotide ribosomal RNA is filed under the name Pristionchus pacificus. RNAcentral's name for it is "SSU rRNA". It matches the Rfam family "Eukaryotic small subunit ribosomal RNA", at positions 452 to 984 of the family's 1831-position model. The record is from RNAcentral. Lineage: Eukaryota; Metazoa; Nematoda; Chromadorea; Rhabditida; Neodiplogasteridae.
CCGCACGGGGAGGUAGUGACGAAAAAUAACGAGACAGUCCACUUUGUGGACUGUCAUCGGAAUGGGUACAAUUUAAAUCUUUUAACGAGGAUCUAUUGGAGGGCAAGUCUGGUGCCAGCAGCCGCGUAAUUCCAGCUCCAAUAGCGUAUAUUAAAGUUGUUGUGGUUAAAACGCCCGUAGUUGGAUCUUCGGCCUUGAAGGACGGUUCCCCGAAAGGGUGUUUACUGUCUCUUCUAGCCUAAAGUUUAGUACGCCUCUGAUGCUCUUUAUCGAGUGUCUUUGGCUGCUAGAACGUUUACUUUGAAAAAAUUAGAGUGCUAAAAGCAGGCAUAUGCUUGAAUAAAGUGCAUGGAAUAAUGGAAUAGGACUUCAGUUCUAUUUUGUUGGUUUUCGAAUUGAAGUAAUGAUUAAGAGGAACAGACGGGGGCAUUCGUAUUGUUGCGUUAGAGGUGAAAUUCUUGGAUCGCAGCAAGACGAACAACUGCGAAAGCAUUUGCCAAGAAUGUUUUCAUUAAUCAAGGAC